GAUGAACGCUGGCGGCGUGCCUAACACAUGCAAGUCGAACGAAGCACCUUACCUGAUUCUUCGGAUGAAAGUUUGGUGACUGAGUGGCGGACGGGUGAGUAACGCGUGGGUAACCUGCCCUGUACAGGGGGAUAACAGCUGGAAACGGCUGCUAAUACCGCAUAAGCGCACGAGGAGACAUCUCCUUGUGUGAAAAACUCCGGUGUACAGGAUGGGCCCGCGUCUGAUUAGCUGGUUGGCAGGGUAACGGCCUACCAAGGCAACGAUCAGUAGCCGGUCUGAGAGGAUGAACGGCCACAUUGGAACUGAGACACGGUCCAAACUCCUACGGGAGGCAGCAGUGGGGAAUAUUGCACAAUGGGGGAAACCCUGAUGCAGCAACGCCGCGUGAGUGAAGAAGUAUUUCGGUAUGUAAAGCUCUAUCAGCAGGGAAGAUAAUGACGGUACCUGACUAAGAAGCGCCGGCUAAAUACGUG
RNAcentral lists this ribosomal RNA (476 nucleotides) under uncultured bacterium. RNAcentral describes it as "partial 16S ribosomal RNA". It matches the Rfam family "Bacterial small subunit ribosomal RNA", at positions 28 to 507 of the family's 1533-position model. The record is from RNAcentral.